UAAAGCCAUCUUGGAUCUCAGAAUUACAACCUGAGAGCGCGGAUAUAUUCUCACAACAAGUGGGACUUCAGAGCUAAUUCUGGUUCAGGUCGGUCAAUAGCGGUGAUUUAAGGACGCGCGUGGCGAGCAGUCUUUUCUUGGUUUCCAUUAAAGUGGUAUCUGCUGCUUUGUGAGGCUUCCACGCUGCAGAGAGGACGACCACGUAAAAGAAGAUGUUCUUCAUCAUCAUCACUGCUGCAGUUGGCCUGUUCUGGUGUUCUCCUCAUGGAGACACAACGAGACUCAACAGUUUGACCUUGAACUGGUGGCCUGUGAUGGACUGCAGAGGCCGCUCCACAACUGAAGGACAGCACACAACCCAGACUGACAAACUGACUGAUCACUGAGGAGGGAUGUGUUUGUUUUUGCUUUGUUUUCAUCUUGCUGACCUAAUAUUGCAGACGGAAUUGGCCUUUAGGGACAAACAAAGUUUUCAGAAUCGGAGCUGCAGCUCAGUCUAUUACUUUCAUCGGUUCCUGCAGUGGUAGGAGGACGCUUUUCUACUCUAAAAGACACGACUUUACAAUCAAAUACAACAUUUUCUAAGAAAUAGAUCAAUAAGUACAAAUGGUUUUCUGUUUAAAGACCGACUCUGAUGAAAAUAAUAUUUUCUGAGGUUUUGACAUCUUUUAAUUUAAUAAUAAAUCAUUUUAUUUUUGCAUUUCCUUUAAAUCGCUGUCAUUCAAACUGUUGCAAAGACGCUCUGUGAGAUGAUUCCAGCUUUAUGACAUAGUGAAUAGAAGAUGGUACACUGUGGUCAUAAAGGGAUGGACAUGGUCAGCAACAAAACUAUGAUAAAUUGAUGCCAAAAAAUAUCCCCCACACCAUGACACCACCACCACCAGCUUUAACCGUUGAUACAAGGCAGGAUGGAUUCAUGCUUUCAUGUUGUUGAUGCCAAAUUCUGACCCAACCAUCAGAAUGUGGCAGCAGAAUUGGAGACUCGUCACCCCAGACAACCUUUUUUCCAUCUUUUAUUGUCCAGUUUUGGUGAGUCUGUGUGAAUUCUAGCCUGAAUUUCCUGUUCUAAGCUGACAGUAGUGACAGCCGUUGUGUUCUUCUGCUGCUGUAGUCCAUCAGCAUCAAGGUUGUUGUUGCUGUUGCGUUUCUAUCAGCUGGAACCACUCUGGCCAUUCUCCUUUGACAUCAACAGAACUGCCGGUCACUGAAUAUUUUCUCUUUUUCUGACCAUUCUCUGUGAACCCUAGAGAUGGUUUUUGGAAAAAAUCCCAGCAGAUCAGCAGUUUCUGAAAUACUCUUGACAUGUCUACAUGCUUAUAUGCUUAUGGCUGAUUAGAAAUUUGCAUUAACGAGCAGAUGGACAGGUGAUUGGUUAUUGUGAUGUCCUCAACCCUUCCGUUAUCCUAGAUAUGUUGACCUUGGGAGUGGGGUAAUCUGGACCCCACAAGAAUUUUUUUUUUUCAAUGAUUUUUAAUUUUCUCUGGUGUCCAUGGCAGA
Long non-coding RNA from Oryzias melastigma (Indian medaka), 1497 nucleotides. RefSeq lists it as uncharacterized. The record is from RefSeq and is a predicted model, not a curated record. NCBI's taxonomy places the organism in Eukaryota, Metazoa, Chordata, Actinopteri, Beloniformes, Adrianichthyidae. The transcript has 3 exons.